AUUGAACGCUGGCGGCAGGCCUAACACAUGCAAGUCGAGCGAGCGGCGGACGGGUGAGUAAAGUCUGGGAAACUGCCUGAUGGAGGGGGAUAACUACUGGAAACGGUAGCUAAUACCGCAUACCAUCAGAUGUGCCCAGAUGGGUUUAGUUAGUAGGGGGGGAAACGGCUCACCUAGGCGACGAUCCCUAGCUGGGCUGAGAGGAUGACCAGCCACACUGGAACUGAGCGACGGUCCAGACUCCUACGGGAGGCAGCAGUUGGGAAUAUUGCACAAUGGGCGCAAGCCUGAUGCAGCCAUGCCGCGGGUGUGAAGAAGGCCUUCGGGUUGUAAAGCACUUUCAGCGGGGAGGCGUUACCCGCAGAAGAAGCACCGGCUAACUCCGUGCCAGCAGCCGCGGUAAUAC
Molecule: ribosomal RNA, 406 nt
Filed under: uncultured bacterium
Lineage: Bacteria
Description: partial 16S ribosomal RNA
Rfam family: Bacterial small subunit ribosomal RNA
Source: RNAcentral